CUGCACCCCACAUCCUGUCCUGUUUUGAGAGGAGGAGGGAAGAGAAAUAAACGUGGCAGCGCACACAAGGCCAGCGGGGAGACACCUCCAGCUCGCAAGGCUUUUCACCCUCAUCUUUUCAGUCCUGGAAAAGGAAUUCGGGCUUUCAGUCUCCAACGUCUGCAGUCUGUAUUUCUGCCCUUUAGUCUGUCUUUGCCUGAAGCUCUAACUAAACCGAAGGAAGAAGCAACCUUGAAACCUCCGAGGUCCAUUUGCCUCUUAGGCUCUGUGCAACUGCAGGUCCAGUGGAAAACAGCUAACUGCUUCUCAUCCCAGGAAGGUGGGUUCUGCUCAGCUCACAGCCUCAGCAAAACUCACAAGCCUGAGCUGAAGACCUCACCUUGACGUGCACACAUCCCACUUAGGCAAGCCAAUUCUACACCCUGGAUCAG
This 431-nucleotide long non-coding RNA is filed under the name Urocitellus parryii (Arctic ground squirrel). Its description in RNAcentral is "lncRNA (ENSUPAG00010010116.1)". The record is from RNAcentral. Lineage: Eukaryota; Metazoa; Chordata; Mammalia; Rodentia; Sciuridae.